UGGGGAAUAUUGCACAAUGGGCGAAAGCCUGAUGCAGCAACGCCGCGUGAGUGAUGAAGGCCUUCGGGUUGUAAAGCUCUGUCUUUUGGGACGAUAAUGACGGUACCAAAGGAGGAAGCCACGGCUAACUACGUGCCAGCAGCCGCGGUAAUACGUAGGUGGUGAGCGUUGUCCGGAUUUACUGGGCGUAAAGGAUGCGUAGGCGGAUAUUUAAGUGAGAUGUGAAAUACCCGAGCUUAACUUGGGUGCUGCAUUUCAAACUGGAUAUCUAGAGUGCGGGAGAGGAGAAUGGAAUUCCUAGUGUAGCGGCGAAAUGCGUAGAGAUUAGGAAGAACACCAGUGGCGAAGGCGAUUCCCUGGACCGUAACUGACGCUGAGGCAUGAAAGCGUGGGUAGCAAACA
Molecule: ribosomal RNA, 402 nt
Filed under: uncultured bacterium
Lineage: Bacteria
Description: bacterial SSU rRNA
Rfam family: Bacterial small subunit ribosomal RNA
Source: RNAcentral